Molecule: ribosomal RNA, 500 nt
Filed under: uncultured cyanobacterium
Lineage: Bacteria; Bacillati; Cyanobacteriota
Description: bacterial SSU rRNA
Rfam family: Bacterial small subunit ribosomal RNA
Source: RNAcentral
GGGGAAUUUUCCGCAAUGGGCGAAAGCCUGACGGAGCAAGACCGCGUGGGGGAAGAAGGCUCUUGGGUUGUAAACCCCUUUUCUCUGGGAAGAAAGUUGUGAAAGCAACCUGACGGUACCAGAGGAAUCAGCAUCGGCUAACUCCGUGCCAGCAGCCGCGGUAAGACGGAGGAUGCAAGCGUUAUCCGGAAUGAUUGGGCGUAAAGCGUCCGCAGGUGGCAGUUCAAGUCUGCUGUCAAAGACCGGGGCUUAACCUCGGAAAGGCAGUGGAAACUGAACAGCUAGAGUAUGGUAGGGGCAAAGGGAAUUCCUGGUGUAGCGGUGAAAUGCGUAGAGAUCAGGAAGAACAUCGGUGGCGAAGGCGCUUUGCUGGACCAUAACUGACACUCAGGGACGAAAGCUAGGGGAGCGAAUGGGAUUAGAUACCCCAGUAGUCCUAGCCGUAAACGAUGGAUACUAGGUGUUGUCUGUAUCGACCCGGACAGUGCCGUAGCUAACGC